GACGAACGCUGGCGGCGUGCUUAACACAUGCAAGUCGAACGGAAAGGCCCUGCUUUUGUGGGGUGCUCGAGUGGCGAACGGGUGAGUAACACGUGAGUAACCUGCCCUUGACUUUGGUAUAACUUCAGGAAACUGGGGCUAAUACCGGAUAGGAGCUCCUGCUGCAUGGUGGGGUUUGGAAAGUUUCGGCGGUUGGGGAUGGACUCGCGGCUUAUCAGCUUGUUGGUGGGGUAGUGGCUUACCAAGGCUUUGACGGGUAGCCGGCCUGAGAGGGUGACCGGCCACAUUGGGACUGAGAUACGGCCCAGACUCCUACGGGAGGCAGCAGGGGGGAAUAUUGCAAAAUGGGCGGAAGCCUGAUGCAGCAACGCCGCGUGCGGGAUGACGGCCUUCGGGUUGUAAACCGCUUUCGCCUGUGACGAAGCGUGAGUGACGGUAAUGGGUAAAGAAGCACCGGCUAACUACGUG
RNAcentral lists this ribosomal RNA (468 nucleotides) under uncultured bacterium. Its description in RNAcentral is "partial 16S ribosomal RNA". It matches the Rfam family "Bacterial small subunit ribosomal RNA", at positions 28 to 507 of the family's 1533-position model. The record is from RNAcentral.